UAUAUAACAAAAAAAUCUUAGGGGCCUUCAUUUGUAAUUUUCCCAUCAACUCUCAUAUAUUAUUUUUGUUUUCCCUCUUUGUCGGUGAGCUACAGACCAGAGGAGAGAGACUUCAACUUUUCUAGAAAUUUCGACCAUCCCAACUCUUCACUCCACCGUCCAGCUCAUCAUCGGUGAUGUGGGUCACUAGUGAUAUUCUCCUUCCCUUCUGUUCUUCGCUCCUUCUCCUCUGUUCGUUUCUCUGUCGUGGGUGUUAUCGGAACUUUCCUUUCGUCUGAGAGCAAGAGAGAUUCAUUGCUCAGAAGCUUCAAGUCAUUCGAUCCAGCACCUCUGUCCUUUUGCUAUUCAACAUGCUAUUGAUGAGAAUAGGAGUUCCGCUUACUGUCGCUGAGAUGUCCGCCCAGAACCACAGCGUUGUGGUGCAAACCGUAAUAGAGUAGUUAAAGGACAAUUGAGAGGUUUAUGAGGCACAAGCUAUUAUUUUGGGUGUUUAACAGGUAGUAUAAGUUGAGCUUAUAUAUCAAGGUGUUACUUGAGGCAUUUUAUCACUAAAGUGGAGUGGAAGAAUUAUUUCAAACAAGUUUUGCUUGAUGAAAAUUUGAACCCUGUAUUAAUUUCAUGGCCUGGUCCUAACUGCUCCACGUAUAAUGUAGGUAGGAUUCUCAUCUUUCUUUAAAGACUGUAUAUAUUUUAGUAGGGAGCGAGAUCCUUUUAUUUAAUUAUUAUUAUUCCUUGUCAUACAUUUAGGAAGUCUUGUUUAUAUGAAAGUUCUCUUAAGAAUUUUAUAAAAAAAAUAAAAAUAAAAAUAUGCCUAUAGUUUUGCAUGGACCAGAGUAUAUUUGUUCAAGGCUUAAGGGAUAUGGGUUUUAUACACAUAUUCCGUGCUGGUCACGCCUUAAAUUUUUGG
Molecule: long non-coding RNA, 907 nt
Organism: Prosopis cineraria
Lineage: Eukaryota; Viridiplantae; Streptophyta; Magnoliopsida; Fabales; Fabaceae
Exons: 3
Source: RefSeq, a predicted model, not a curated record